UCAUUGAUUUAGUAAAUAAUGUAUAUGCCCACUUAAUGACCUUCUGAUCUCCAUCCACUUCUGCUCUGUCUACUACCACUAGUAGUAAAUGGAUCUCCAUAUGUCUACACACACAACGUUGUUUCCACAUCAUUUCAAUGAAAUUACGUUGAACCAACAUGGAAUAUAUGUUGAAUUGACGUCUGUGCCCAGUUGGUCUGUUCCCAGCUCUCUAAAUACUUAAUUUCCUCUGUCUACGUGGGCAAGCAAUUUCUCGGGUCCUGUUCACCAUAACUUUCUACACAGACACACAAAAUAUAAACUAACGAUAACCUACUAAUGUGAAGCUUCAUGCCUGUAAUCUAAGGCAAUGCUUUCAAUGAAGGUGUGUGUAUAGACAAUCAAAGUUGAUCGCUGCUUCAGGAUUGUGAAGCCUAUAUACUGUAAACUACAGUCCCAUCUCUAACUGCUGUUUGUGUGUCAUCUCAGCAGGUAAAAGCUCUGCGAAUGGACGGGGACCAGGAGGAAACCAGGAGCUGAACUAUGCAGACAUCACGCAAUUCCAGAAGAGGGACGGUGGGUCAGUUCAGCUGGGGAACCUGGGUACUUCCUCCACAGAGUAUGCUCAGGUCCGAGUCAACAACCGGCCUGGUCAGCCUGCCGAACCGCCCACCUACAAAGCCCACCAAUCCCAGUAUCCCCAGGUGAAAAAGCCUGUCCUUAAGCCUGCCCCCGAUGCUGCAUCCACCAUCUACUCAGACGUUCGAAGGAACUGACCACGCCUCCCUGUCAAUCAUCUGGACCAGUUGGGGUCAGUCAGGGCGACCAGGCCUGUUCAGACAUGGUCAAUGAAGCCCCACAACCUUCUCUUUGUCUAUGUGCCAACAAAACUUUUAUUCUAAUACUUUAUCCUUUAUUAGGCCUUACAGAUCCUUAAACAAACUAAAAUGUCAGUUAACCCUUUAGCUAUUAUCAAUUCAGUGGGUGUUCAUCUGUUUUAUAAUUUGUACUCAACUAAUAGUAACUGUCAUAAUAGAUCAUCAGAUCAUGAUGGAUAGUGAAUAUUUGUAUAGACACAAAAUAUACAGCUACAUACAUAAUGUGCCAUUAACCCUCUAGAGCAGGGAUCAACUAGAUUCAGCCACGGGCCGCAAGAAGCCCAAACAGAUAUAAUGUUUGACUAAAACAUAAUCAUUUCAAACCUUGCUUACAUCUGUAUACAAUCAUGUGUCUCUCUAUUAUGUGUGGGAAUACUUGGGAACAGAUUUCUUAAAUUGAAAUGACUUGGAGCUGAUUUCCUGGUGUUUUUCCAGUCUUUUAUCUCCACCAAUGAAGAAAAUAAUAAAAAUAAGAAAUUAGCUUGGGGGGCCAAAUAAGACCACCCAUGGGCCAAAUUCGGGGGAUGUUCUACUAAACUAACACAUGGAAUUGUUUUAAGAUGGUCAUACCAAGGAUCAUUUUAGAUGUUUGAUUUUGAAUUUUAAGACCCCUUAAAGAUAGUUUAUCUUACUGCUAUUUUCAGUUCCCAUACAUACUGUUGAGGUAACUGGAGGCCUAUUAUACCACAAAUUGGGAAAAUCAUUAGCAUGCAUCCCAUGGUUUAGCAGAAUAGCAACAUAGAGGAACACCAUCUCUCAGGGUGACGUGGGUACCAUUGCCCUGGUCAUUUGCAUUUACCGUUUGUACUGUUAGAUAUCAUAAAAGGGAAAU
Molecule: long non-coding RNA, 1689 nt
Organism: Salmo trutta (river trout)
Lineage: Eukaryota; Metazoa; Chordata; Actinopteri; Salmoniformes; Salmonidae
Source: Ensembl